AGAGCGAACGCUGGCGGCAGGCCUAACACAUGCAAGUCGAGCGCCCGUAGCAAUACGGGAGCGGCAGACGGGAUAGUAACACGUGGGAACGCGCCCUUCGGUUCGGAAUAACUCAGGGAAACUUGAGCUAAUACCGGAUACGCCCUUACGGGGAAAGAUUUAUUGCCGAAGGAACGGCCCGCGUCCGAUUAGCUAGUUGGUGAGGUAAUGGCUCACCAAGGCGACGAUCGGUAGCUGGUCUGAGAGGAUGACCAGCAUCACUGGGACUGAGACACGGCCCAGACUCCUACGGGAGGCAGCAGUGGGGAAUAUUGGACAAUGGGCGCAAGCCUGAUCCAGCCAUGCCGCGUGGAUGAUGAAGGCCCUAGGGUUGUAAAGUCCUUUUAACGGGGAAGAUAAUGACGGUACCCGUAGAAUAAUCCCGGCUAACUUCGUGCCAGCAGCCGC
RNAcentral lists this ribosomal RNA (447 nucleotides) under uncultured bacterium. RNAcentral describes it as "SSU rRNA". It matches the Rfam family "Bacterial small subunit ribosomal RNA", at positions 26 to 518 of the family's 1533-position model. The record is from RNAcentral.